CCUACGGGGGGCAGCAGUGAGGAAUAUUGGUCAAUGGACGAGAGUCUGAACCAGCCAAGUAGCGUGAAGGAUGACUGCCCUAUGGGUUGUAAACUUCUUUUAUAUGGGAAUAAAAUGUUCCACGUGUGGGAUUUUGUAUGUACCAUAUGAAUAAGGAUCGGCUAACUCCGUGCCAGCAGCCGCGGUAAUACGGCGGAUCCGAGCGUUAUCCGGAUUUAUUGGGUUUAAAGGGAGCGUAGGUGGAUUGUUAAGUCAGUUGUGAAAGUUUGCGGCUCAACCGUAAAAUUGCAGUUGAAACUGGCAGUCUUGAGUACAGUAGAGGUGGGCGGAAUUCGUGGUGUAGCGGUGAAAUGCUUAGAUAUCACGAAGAACUCCGAUUGCGAAGGCAGUUCACUGGACUGCAACUGACACUGAGGCUCGAAAGUGUGGGUAUCAAACAGGAUUAGAUACCCGAGUAGUC
This 460-nucleotide ribosomal RNA is filed under the name uncultured bacterium. RNAcentral's name for it is "partial 16S ribosomal RNA". It matches the Rfam family "Bacterial small subunit ribosomal RNA", at positions 338 to 795 of the family's 1533-position model. The record is from RNAcentral.